UACGUAGGGGGCUAGCGUUGUCCGGAAUCAUUGGCGUAAAGAGCGUGUAGGCGGUCCGGUAAGUCCGCUGUGAAAGUCGGGGGCUCAACCCUCGAAUGCCGGUGGAUACUGUCGGGCUAGAGUGCGGAAGAGGCGAGUGGAAUUCCUGGUGUAGCGGUGAAAUGCGCAGAUAUCAGGAGGAACACCUAUUGCGAAGGCAGCUCGCUGGGACGUAACUGACGCUGAGACGCGAAAGCGUGGGGAGCAAACAGG
Molecule: ribosomal RNA, 252 nt
Filed under: uncultured bacterium
Lineage: Bacteria
Description: partial 16S ribosomal RNA
Rfam family: Bacterial small subunit ribosomal RNA
Source: RNAcentral